AUCUAUAUUUGGUAAUAUCUGGAGAAAACUCUGAUAAACCUGGUGUGGGCUCCUUAGGGCAAGUGAGAUCACAAGGUAAGAUAGCUUCUCCUGUCUUACUGCAGGAAGUCCUCAUCCCUGAGAUGAAGUGGAGAAAGGUAUGCCCUUCCUCCAGGUCCCUGUCUCUCCCAGACAACAUCCCUUGUGUCCCUCCAUCAUCCGUGGACUCCACAGACAGUUUCUUCCCCUCCAGGAAGCCUCCAAUGUCUGAAUGCUGUCUAUGAGGAGGAUGAGCUGGAGGAGGAGCCCAGGAGCACUGGGGAGCUGAGGCUCUGGGAUUACCGGCUCCUCAAGGUCUUCUUUGUGCUGAUCUGCUUCCUGGUCAUGUCCUCAUCCUACCUGGCGUUCCGUAUUUCUCGGCUAGAGCAGCAGUUAUGCUCCUUGAGUUGGGACGGCCCAGUCCCUGGGCACAGGUAACAGCCACUUGGCCUUUGUCCCCAUUCCUUCUCCAAGAAGAAUGUUCUGGGUGCUAAGUCUCCACCAAUGAUCCCUGUGGUUUAUGCUGCUGCUGUGCUAAG
This 557-nucleotide small RNA is filed under the name Pan troglodytes (chimpanzee). RNAcentral's name for it is "retained intron". Lineage: Eukaryota; Metazoa; Chordata; Mammalia; Primates; Hominidae. The record is from RNAcentral.